UAGAGUUUGAUCAUGGCUCAGGAUGAACGCUAGCGACAGGCUUAACACAUGCAAGUCGAGGGGCAGCGGGGAGGUAGCAAUACUUCCGCCGGCGACCGGCGCACGGGUGAGUAACACGUAUGGAACCUGCCCGUAGCAGGGGGAUAAACGGAAGAAAUUCCGUCUAAUACCGCGUAAUAACUCCGAGAGGCAUCUCAUGGAGUUUAAAGGGUAACACCGGCUACGGAUGGCCAUGCGGCGCAUUAGCUAGUUGGCGGGGUAACGGCCCACCAAGGCGACGAUGCGUAGGGGUUCUGAGAGGAAGGUCCCCCACACUGGUACUGAGACACGGACCAGACUCCUACGGGAGGCAGCAGUGAGGAAUAUUGGUCAAUGGGCGCGAGCCUGAACCAGCCAAGUCGCGUGAGGGAAGACGGUCCUAUGGAUUGUAAACCUCUUUUGUCGGGGAGCAAAAGACGCCACGCGUGGCGUUCCGAGAGUACCCGAAGAAAAAGCAUCGGCUAACUCCGUGCCAGCAGCCGCGGUAAUACGGAGGAUGCGAGCGUUAUCCGGAUUUAUUGGGUUUAAAGGGUGCGCAGGCGGAAGAUCAAGUCAGCGGUAAAAUUGAGAGGCUCAACCUCUUCGAGCCGUUGAAACUGGUUUUCUUGAGUGAGCGAGAAGUAUGCGGAAUGCGUGGUGUAGCGGUGAAAUGCAUAGAUAUCACGCAGAACUCCGAUUGCGAAGGCAGCAUACCGGCGCUCAACUGACGCUCAUGCACGAAAGUGUGGGUAUCGAACAGGAUUAGAUACCCUGGUAGUCCACACAGUAAACGAUGAAUACUAAUUGUUCGGGGAGAAUGAUCCCUGAGUGAUACAGCGAAAGCGUUAAGUAUUCCACCUGGGGAGUACGCCGGCAACGGUGAAACUCAAAGGAAUUGACGGGGGCCCGCACAAGCGG
This 936-nucleotide ribosomal RNA is filed under the name uncultured bacterium. Its description in RNAcentral is "bacterial SSU rRNA". It matches the Rfam family "Bacterial small subunit ribosomal RNA", at positions 1 to 932 of the family's 1533-position model. The record is from RNAcentral.